AGAAGAUUCAUUAUAAUUUGCACUUUUUGUUUCUUUUUUUUCAGCAAAGGGAGAAGCAGUCAUAUGAGUAACUACUGGCAAAUAGGUUACCUACCACUUGAACAAGAGACAGAACAAUUAUAAUUGCACAAAAGAAAAGUUUGCUUCACUCCAUUGGCUAUAAGAGGGAACUGUGUUAAUCAUCAUAGUUGCAGAAAUCAGCUGUGUAGAAGUCUAACAAGGUUUAUCAUCAAGGUGUUAUUCUCAGGUGGCUCAGAAGAACAGUAACUGUCUGUAUGGUUCUAACAUGAGUUGAAGAAUGACAGCUGAGAAGUGCAAAUCACAAGCAUGCUAAAGGGGUUGAGAUGCUCAGUUCCUCAAGCCUGCCCCCUUAGGCUGUAAAGGUGUAACAAACUGGAGGAAAAUUACACUUAUUUUUGAAUGCUUUCCAUCUCCUUUCUUUUUUCCAACUUUUUUUUUUUUUCUAUGCAAACAGAGAAAUAUAUUUUUCCUAGUGUAAAGUAACCAUGAAGAAUAAGAAUUACUUUUGAUUCAGAAUCCAGAACUGAAUAGAAUUGCUAUAGUCAUUUCAUAUUAACUACAACAGCUCUCAGCCAAAAACAGUUGUUGCAAAUGUAGUCUGUGAGUUGUCCAUUUUUUUAGGCAAAGUUUAAAUGCCUAUGUAGUUAAAUGUCAACAGCUCACAUUGGUUGUGUAAACACUGUAGUAAACACAGUUUGCUAAUCUGUUUUAUCAACUGUGCAUUCAAGUCUACUAGCUAAGCUAAGAGAAAACACUCUAAAUAUGUUCUCCUUCCUUUCUAUUAUAUGUGUUCUCUAGACUAAAGAAGCAUUCAGUAUGUUGGGCAUAGUUGGACAUGCCUAGAUUACCACUUUCUCAGGGUAAAAGCACCAAAUAUUGAC
Molecule: long non-coding RNA, 902 nt
Organism: Anas platyrhynchos (mallard)
Lineage: Eukaryota; Metazoa; Chordata; Aves; Anseriformes; Anatidae
Source: RefSeq, a predicted model, not a curated record